UACGUAGGUGGCAAGCGUUGUCCGGAUUUAUUGGGUUUAAAGGGUGCGUAGGCGGUCUUAUAAGUCAGUGCUGAAAUAUCCCGGCUUAACCGGGAGGGUGGCAUUGAUACUGUAGGACUUGAGUAGAGUUGAGGUUGGCGGAAUUGACGGUGUAGCGGUGAAAUGCUUAGAUAUCGUCAAGAACACCGAUAGUGAAGACAGCUAACUAAGCUCAAACUGACGCUGAGACGCGAAAGCGUGGGGAGCGAACAGG
This 253-nucleotide ribosomal RNA is filed under the name uncultured bacterium. RNAcentral's name for it is "partial 16S ribosomal RNA". It matches the Rfam family "Bacterial small subunit ribosomal RNA", at positions 524 to 776 of the family's 1533-position model. The record is from RNAcentral.